UACGGGGGGGGCAAGCGUUGUUCGGAAUUACUGGGCGUAAAGGGCUCGUAGGCGGCCAACUAAGUCAGACGUGAAAUCCCUCGGCUUAACCGGGGAACUGCGUCUGAUACUGGUUGGCUUGAAUCCGGGAGAGGGAUGUGGAAUUCCAGGUGUAGCGGUGAAAUGCGUAGAUAUCUGGAGGAACACCGGUGGCGAAGGCGGCAUCCUGGACCGACAUUGACGCUGAUGAGCGAAAGCUAGGGGAGCAAACGGG
This 253-nucleotide ribosomal RNA is filed under the name uncultured bacterium. RNAcentral's name for it is "partial 16S ribosomal RNA". It matches the Rfam family "Bacterial small subunit ribosomal RNA", at positions 524 to 776 of the family's 1533-position model. The record is from RNAcentral.